This 505-nucleotide ribosomal RNA is filed under the name uncultured bacterium. RNAcentral's name for it is "partial 16S ribosomal RNA". It matches the Rfam family "Bacterial small subunit ribosomal RNA", at positions 899 to 1397 of the family's 1533-position model. The record is from RNAcentral.
ACUCAAAUGAAUUGACGGGGAUCCGCACAAGCGGUGGAACAUGUGGUUUAAUUCGACACUACGCGAGGAACCUUACCUGGGCUUGACAUGCUUUUGAUCGCCGUAGAGAUACGGUUUUCCAGGAUUUAUUCUGGACAAUUGCACAGGUGCUGCAUGGCUGUCGUCAGCUCGUGUCGUGAGAUGUUAGGUUAAGUCCUCUAACGAGCGCAACCCUUGCUACCAGUUGCUAUCUGCUUUGCAGAGCACUCUGGUGGGACUGCCCGGGAAACCGGGAGGAAGGUGGGGACGACGUCAAGUCAUCAUGGUCCUUAUGCCCAGGGCUACACACGUGUUACAAUGGCCAGUACAAAGGGUUGCGAAUCCGCAAGGUGGAGCUAAUCUCAUAAAGCUGGUCUAAGUUCGGAUUGAGGUCUGCAACUCGACCUCAUGAAGUUGAAAUCGCUAGUAAUCGCGUAUCAGCAACGACGCGGUGAAUACGUUCACGGAUCUUGUACACACCGCCCGU